GGACAAAGUGACAGGUGGUGCAUGGUUGUCGUCAGCUCGUGUCGUGAGAUGUUGGGUUAAGUCCCGCAACGAGCGCAACCCUUAUUGUUAGUUGCCAUCAUUUAGUUGGGCACUCUAGCGAGACUGCCGGUGACAAACCGGAGGAAGGUGGGGAUGACGUCAAAUCAUCAUGCCCCUUAUGACCUGGGCUACACACGUGCUACAAUGGGAAGUACAACGAGUCGCUAGACCGCGAGGUCAUGCAAAUCUCUUAAAGCUUCUCUCAGUUCGGAUUGCAGGCUGCAACUCGCCUGCAUGAAGCCGGAAUCGCUAGUAAUCGCGGAUCAGCACGCCGCGGUGAAUACGUUCCCGGGCCUUGUACACACCGCCCGUCACACCACGAGAGUUUGUAACACCCGAAGUCGGUGAGGUAACCUUUUUGGAGCCAGCCGCCUAAGGUGGGAUAGAUGAUUGGGGUGAAGUCGUAACAAGGUAGCCGUAUCGGAAGGUGCGGCUGGAUCACCUCCUUU
Molecule: ribosomal RNA, 509 nt
Filed under: Enterococcus faecalis
Lineage: Bacteria; Bacillati; Bacillota; Bacilli; Lactobacillales; Enterococcaceae
Description: bacterial SSU rRNA
Rfam family: Bacterial small subunit ribosomal RNA
Source: RNAcentral